Molecule: long non-coding RNA, 455 nt
Filed under: Homo sapiens (human)
Lineage: Eukaryota; Metazoa; Chordata; Mammalia; Primates; Hominidae
Description: HSALNT0166851
Source: RNAcentral
GCAAAAAUCACAAACCUGGUUUUUGGGCUCCCUCCAAACCACAGGUGUGAACACCUACCAUGUGCUGGGUGCAGUGCUAACGGAUAUCAAGAUGAGAAGGGUCAGGCAGCUGUCCUCAAAGAGCAUAGAGUCUGCUAGGAGAGACAAAAAUCGUUCCAUAGGAGCUGUCCCUUGGGUAUGAAGUAAGAAGAACCUAGAUCAUAACAGUGCAACUUUAAAAAUGGAAAAGAAGGGGUGAAUCCAGAAACAUCCUCAAGAAGGAACUGAUUGACCGGCUAUGGGGAAGGAGUGAAUUAGAAGCAGCAAAAAUGCCUGAGGUUUUUAACCUGAAGGUGUCACUGACAAGGAAAAGGAAAUCAGGAAAGGAAAAAAGAUGAACGCUAGAACAAAUUAUUUCUUAGUAAUUAUACAAGAAGGUGGGUCAAAGCUAUGUUUUUCUCCAAAGAAGGAAAAAU